GACAGAGGGUGCAAACGUUGUUCGGAAUUACUGGGCGUAAAGCGCGUGUAGGCGGCGAUGCAAGUCGGAUGUGAAAGCCCAUGGCUCAACCAUGGAAGUGCACCCGAAACUGCGUCGCUAGAGUCUCGGAGAGGAAGGUGGAAUUCCAGGUGUAGCGGUGAAAUGCGUAGAGAUCUGGAGGAACACCGAUGGCGAAGGCAGCCUUCUGGGCCAACACUGACGCUCAUGCACGAAAGCGUGGGGAGCAAACAGG
This 253-nucleotide ribosomal RNA is filed under the name uncultured bacterium. Its description in RNAcentral is "partial 16S ribosomal RNA". It matches the Rfam family "Bacterial small subunit ribosomal RNA", at positions 524 to 776 of the family's 1533-position model. The record is from RNAcentral.